Molecule: long non-coding RNA, 589 nt
Filed under: Ananas comosus (pineapple)
Lineage: Eukaryota; Viridiplantae; Streptophyta; Magnoliopsida; Poales; Bromeliaceae
Description: long non-coding RNA (ACOM_LNC041420)
Source: RNAcentral
AGUAAUUGGAGUACUGCGAUUUUGUUAAAAUGAAAAAUUCAUCUCAUUCCUUUCUCGCCUUUACGAUCUUGACGCCGAUUGUUGUGCUAUAUUACUCGAAGUUCCUUGAUAUUAUCCUUCACAGUGAUGGUCUAUGGUUCAAUUUUAUUUGACUCUACUAAAGUUUACCAUCUUAUGUUUUGGCAAAUCAUGCUUUUUGAAAAAGUAGAAGAGAAAAUAGUAGGACUUUUCUUGUUAUUACUGUUGUGGAAGUGUUCUGUGUAUAUGCAUAGAAAAUCAACCUAGGGGUGCGUUUGGUUUGCAUUAUGAAAGAUUACUAGGAAUAAAAGAUAUCCGAGAAUCUUAUUUCUAUUCAUCCUAUUACUAAGAAUAUAGAAUUCCUGAGUUUGGUUUGCACGGUAAUAUUAAUUAGUCAUGUUAUUUUAAUAUUAUAAAAAAUAUAUAAUUAAUUAAUUUAUUUAUUUAUUUAAUUUUAGAUAAUGUUACCAAAAGUUUCAACAUAAUUUUAGAAAAAAGAAAGAGAGAGUAUAAGUUAGAGAGAGAGAGCAUAAUUGAAAAAAUAAAAAGAAAAAUAUAGUCGAAAUUAGAG